RNAcentral lists this unclassified non-coding RNA (1051 nucleotides) under Hevea brasiliensis (rubber tree). Lineage: Eukaryota; Viridiplantae; Streptophyta; Magnoliopsida; Malpighiales; Euphorbiaceae. The record is from RNAcentral.
UGUGCAAACAAAUAUGUUUCUGGUUUCUAAAUUUAACUGUCUCUAUGUUUUAGAUCAUAAUCAAUUUACUCCAAGAAACAGAGGGACAGGCAAAAAUAAUUAUUAUUAGGGGUAAUAAUUUUGUGUUCAUACCUCUGUCACAAUGCCAAAGUUGUCUAGUUGUCAGCAUCUUUGGUGUCGCAAAAAUUUCAAAUUUAUAACCAAAGCUAGCGUGAAUUUGAGUAUGCCAUUUAUAGAAUGAACUGUCUUUAUGGCAUUUAUAAAAUGAACUGUCUUUAAUACAAGGAAAUCAAUAUGAUAGGUUCAAACUAAUGUGACGAUUGGUAAACUGGCAUUUGUUGCUCCAUCCAUAAUGGAACAAUUAAAUUCUAGCAAGAUUUUUAUUAAGCUGGCUACAUGAUGCUUUGUUUUGCCUGAAUCCUGGAAAACCCAGAAAACUAGUUCAAGAUUUUCGUUUCCUAUUUUCCACAGUUGUUUUUCCACCUGUAAACCUGUUGUAGAUUACUAGAAUUUACUUAAAACUUGUUUUCCUAUAUUCUUGAUUCAUUAACCUGUCAGGAAUAGCCAGUGUGAAUACCCCUUAGUUUUGCUACCACAUAAGCACCACCAUGAAUGGGUUAUAAUUGAGAAUAAUUUUAGAUGUUUGAAGAUGCAGUCAACAAAGGCCCUUUUACAAUGAAUUUUGCUUUUUGCACCAGUCAAUGCCAUGCCUCUUAUUUAGAGUCAAUACCAUGUGAUGAGUAAUGUUUGGAGGUUUCCCCAUCCUCCUCCAUCUGUUACUAGACUUGCUAAGGAAGGACAAAGGUUCUAGGAUUAGAAGGUUGACAGGAGUAAUGGGGUAGCUAGAUGAGUUUUUGUGUCUGUUUAUGAAUUUGCAUCCUUUCUUGUUAAUUGUUAUGUCUGUCGCAGGGUGUUCAUUAGAAUCAGGUCAACAGACUGUAGUACCUCAGAUGAUUAACUAUCAGAAAAAGAGGUUUUUAUGUUUGCUUUCAGUAUAUGAUUUUUAUCUAUACAUAUGAUUCAGAUGCACGAUAACGCACGUAACUGCUAA